This is a non-coding RNA of Helianthus annuus (common sunflower), 111 nucleotides long. NCBI's taxonomy places the organism in Eukaryota, Viridiplantae, Streptophyta, Magnoliopsida, Asterales, Asteraceae. The record is from Rfam.
UUUUGGGCUUAGUAGGCAAUAAAACACAUGAAAACUUCAUAGUUAAUCGUGCUCAGAUGAGAGUAGUAUUAGGAUGGGUGACUUCCUGGAAAAUCUUCAUAAGGGCAACGA